RNAcentral lists this ribosomal RNA (248 nucleotides) under uncultured Parabacteroides sp. RNAcentral's name for it is "partial 16S ribosomal RNA". It matches the Rfam family "Bacterial small subunit ribosomal RNA", at positions 524 to 771 of the family's 1533-position model. The record is from RNAcentral. Lineage: Bacteria; Pseudomonadati; Bacteroidota; Bacteroidia; Bacteroidales; Tannerellaceae.
UACGGAGGAUGCGAGCGUUAUCCGGAUUUAUUGGGUUUAAAGGGUGCGUAGGUGGUUAAUUAAGUCAGCGGUGAAAGUUUGUGGCUCAACCAUAAAAUUGCCGUUGAAACUGGGGGACUCGAGUUGGAGAGAAGCAGGCGGAAUGCGCGGUGUAGCGGUGAAAUGCAUAGAUAUCACGCAGAACUCCGAUUGCGAAGGCAGCUUACUAAACUAUAACUGACACUGAAGCACGAAAGCGUGGGGAUCAA